This 253-nucleotide ribosomal RNA is filed under the name uncultured bacterium. RNAcentral's name for it is "partial 16S ribosomal RNA". It matches the Rfam family "Bacterial small subunit ribosomal RNA", at positions 524 to 776 of the family's 1533-position model. The record is from RNAcentral.
UACGGGGGGUGCUAGCGUUGUUCGGAAUUAUUGGGCGUAAAGAGCGUGUAGGCGGCUUGAUAUGUCAGAUGUGAAAGCCCUGAGCUUAACUCAGGAAGUGCAUUUGAAACUGUCAGGCUUGAGUAGGGGAGAGGGAAGUGGAAUUCCUGGUGUAGAGGUGAAAUUCGUAGAUAUCAGGAGGAACACCGGUGGCGAAGGCGACUUCCUGGCCCUAUACUGACGCUGAGACGCGAGAGCGUGGGUAGCAAACAGG